GCGGCCGCCCCAAACCUGCCCGGGGCUCCUUCUCCCCUUCGGCCCCGAUUCCCCUUUCCCACUAGGGCUCCCCUCUGUUCACUGGCUCUCCUCACCCUAAGUCUGCAGCCACCAGGACCAGGGAGGGGGUGGGUUGCGGGGGUCCUCCUUCCUGCCCCUUGGCUCACCUUCCCCCAUCCACGCACCAGGAGCGGAGAGCCCGGAACUAAGAACUGUAGACCCAGAGAGGUGAGACUGGCCCCAAGCACCUGGGUCCUCAAGAAGAGUCACCGUUUCCGUGCCAGGAGGAUCCAAGGUGGGGAAACUGAGGCUGAGAGAGAAGGACGUUGACCAAGGUCACAGGGCAGGAGCAGCAGAGACAGAGUCUCGCUAUGUUGCUCAGACUGGUCUCCAACUUCUGGCUCAAGCGAUCCUCCUGCCUUGACCUCGCUAAGUGCUGGGAUUACCGAAUGGGAGCCACCAUGCCCAGUCUUUACUCAAAAUUCACCUUCUCCCUGGGUCUUCUCUGGAGACCCUAGCUUUAAAAAUAAACAAGUAAAAGACAAA
Molecule: long non-coding RNA, 546 nt
Filed under: Homo sapiens (human)
Lineage: Eukaryota; Metazoa; Chordata; Mammalia; Primates; Hominidae
Description: CABP7 divergent transcript, transcript variant 1 (CABP7-DT)
Source: RNAcentral